CCUACGGGAGGCAGCAGUGGGGAAUAUUGCACAAUGGGCGCAAGCCUGAUGCAGCCAUGCCGCGUGUAUGAAGAAGGCCUUCGGGUUGUAAAGUACUUUCAGUGGGGAGGCGUUACCCGCAGAAGAAGCACCGGCUAACUCCGUGCCAGCAGCCCGGUAAUACGGAGGGUGCAAGCGUUAAUCGGAAUUACGGGCGUAAAGCGCACGCAGGCGGUCUGUAAGUCGGAUGUGAAAUCCCCGGGCUCAACCUGGGAACUGCAUUCGAAACUGCAGACUAGAGUCUUGUAGAGGGGGGUAGAAUUCCAGGUGUAGCGGUGAAAUGCGUAGAGAUCUGGAGGAAUACCGGUGGCGAAGGCGGCCCCCUGGACAAAACUGACGCUCAGGUGCGAAAGCGUGGGGAGCAAACAGGAUUAGAUACCCUAGUAGUC
RNAcentral lists this ribosomal RNA (428 nucleotides) under uncultured bacterium. RNAcentral describes it as "partial 16S ribosomal RNA". It matches the Rfam family "Bacterial small subunit ribosomal RNA", at positions 338 to 795 of the family's 1533-position model. The record is from RNAcentral.